AAGACUAUACUUUCAGGGAUCAUUUCUAUAGUGCUGUACUUGAGAAAUGUGUGCUAAAGUGGUAGAUCUCGCUAUCCAUGAUGACGAUUAAAGAAUUCCCGUCAGAGCAUGAACUUGGUGUUAGAAGUGACUUUGCUCAUUUUUCUUCCACCUUUGAUGACUGUUCCUUGUUCUUCAAUGAACGUGGAUGAAGGGAAUAUGUUCUGAGUGGA
Molecule: small nucleolar RNA, 212 nt
Filed under: Oncorhynchus tshawytscha (Chinook salmon)
Lineage: Eukaryota; Metazoa; Chordata; Actinopteri; Salmoniformes; Salmonidae
Description: Small nucleolar RNA U3
Rfam family: Small nucleolar RNA U3
About the family: Small nucleolar RNAs (snoRNAs) are involved in the processing and modification of rRNA in the nucleolus. There are two main classes of snoRNAs: the box C/D class, and the box H/ACA class.
Source: Rfam by way of RNAcentral